GUCACUUUAGCUUAGUGGCAGAGCGUCUGCUUUGGUAGCAGAAGGUCGUCAGUUCGAUCCUGGCAAGUGGCU
Molecule: non-coding RNA, 72 nt
Organism: Perkinsus marinus ATCC 50983
Lineage: Eukaryota; Perkinsozoa; Perkinsida; Perkinsidae
Source: Rfam